CAUUUGAUAGUUGGCUCAGAACUUCCAGAAAACUGUUGGCUAUUAGAAGUUUCUGAACUAACAGAUAUUGGUCAUCUUAUAAAUGAGGAAACUGAGGUCCAGCACUCCAUCCACUGCAAUACCUAGCUGCCCAAGGAGAAUCUCCCUGAUAAGGAUAACUUUAAAAAUCUGUGCUACAUUUUUCCUAACAGAUUCCCUUUUCCUGAAGAGGAGUGGAGGCUGCUUCUGGACAGAAAUGGCUGUUCCAUUUGCCCAGGACCCCAGUUCUACAAGAGAGAAUGUGAAAAGAGGAAGGAAAAAGGAAGAUGUGGAGAGGAAUGAUAAAUCCAAGCUGUUAAAUUGAGACAGAAUUAUAUUGCAUUUAUACUGAAGAGCUUGACCACUUAGAAAUGGAUACUUUGCCUGGAUAUAAUCCUGCCUGGCUAAAUCCCCAAGGAUAAAGGUGACUAAGAUUUGCUGCAAGUGGAGCCGGUGACUGAAGCUUUAUAAUGAUUUUCCAGGACAUGACUGUCAAUAGCUUUACCUAAAUAGACAUUUUAGUAAGCACACUGAAAACAUUUGUAGCUUUUUAUUGUGAAGGUUCUGGUCACAAAACAGUGCAUACAACUCAAGUGGCAGCCAGCUUAUCCUCCACCUGCAAGAAAGUACAAAAAUGUGAGGUCAUCAAAGUGAAUACAGGAUUUGUUAUUUCCACACCUGAUAGGACACAUUGCUAAUAUUUUAUUUCACAAGGGAAUUCUGAUUUGAAACCUUGGGUACUUAUUGUGCACAUUUAAUUGUCAUU
This 784-nucleotide long non-coding RNA is filed under the name Sarcophilus harrisii (Tasmanian devil). RNAcentral describes it as "lncRNA (ENSSHAG00000029563.1)". Lineage: Eukaryota; Metazoa; Chordata; Mammalia; Dasyuromorphia; Dasyuridae. The record is from RNAcentral.